UACGGAGGGAGCUAGCGUUGUUCGGAAUUACUGGGCGUAAAGCGCACGUAGGCGGCGAUUCAAGUCAGAGGUGAAAGCCCGGGGCUCAACCCCGGAACUGCCUUUGAAACUAGAUUGCUAGAAUCCUGGAGAGGUGAGUGGAAUUCCGAGUGUAGAUGUGAAAUUCGUAGAUAUUCGGAAGAACACCAGUGGCGAAGGCGACUCACUGGACAGGUAUUGACGCUGAGGUGCGAAAGCGUGGGGAGCAAACAGG
Molecule: ribosomal RNA, 253 nt
Filed under: uncultured bacterium
Lineage: Bacteria
Description: partial 16S ribosomal RNA
Rfam family: Bacterial small subunit ribosomal RNA
Source: RNAcentral